UACGAACUGUGCAAACGUUAUUCGGAAUCACUGGGCGUAAAGGGCGCGUAGGCGGGAUGGCAAGUCGGUCGUGAAAUCCUUCGGCUCAACCGAAGAACGUCGGCCGAUACUGCCGUUCUUGAGGGAUGCAGAGGAGAUUGGAAUUCCCGGUGUAGCGGUGAAAUGUGUAGAGAUCGGGAGGAACACCGGUGGCGAAGGCGGGUCUCUGGGCAUCUCCUGACGCUGAGGCGCGAAAGCGUGGGGAGCAAACGGG
Molecule: ribosomal RNA, 253 nt
Filed under: uncultured bacterium
Lineage: Bacteria
Description: partial 16S ribosomal RNA
Rfam family: Bacterial small subunit ribosomal RNA
Source: RNAcentral